AGAGUUUGAUCCUGGCUUAGGAUGAACGCUAGCUACAGGCUUAACACAUGCAAGUCGAGGGGCAGCAUGGGAUUAGCUUGCUAAUCUGAUGGCGACCGGUGCACGGGUGAGUAACGCGUAUCCAACUUCCCCCUUACUCAGGGAUAGCCCGGUGAAAACCGGAUUAACACCUGAUAGUUUCACUAGAUGGCAUCUGACGGUGAAUAAAGCUUUGUGGUAAGGGAUGGGGAUGCGUCUGAUUAGCUUGUUGGCGGGGUAACGGCCCACCAAGGCAACGAUCAGUAGGGGUUCUGAGAGGAAGGUCCCCCACAUUGGAACUGAGACACGGUCCAAACUCCUACGGGAGGCAGCAGUGAGGAAUAUUGGUCAAUGGGCGAGAGCCUGAACCAGCCAAAGUAGCGUGCAGGAUGACGGCCCUAUGGGUUGUAAACUGCCUUUGUACGGGAAUAAAGUGACCUACGUGUAGGUUUUGCAUGUACCGUAAGAAUAAGGACCGGCUAAUUCCGUGCCAGCCGCCGC
This 519-nucleotide ribosomal RNA is filed under the name uncultured bacterium. RNAcentral's name for it is "bacterial SSU rRNA". It matches the Rfam family "Bacterial small subunit ribosomal RNA", at positions 8 to 518 of the family's 1533-position model. The record is from RNAcentral.